CCUACGGGUGGCAGCAGUGGGGAAUAUUGCACAAUGGGCGCAAGCCUGAUGCAGCCAUGCCGCGUGUGUGAAGAAGGCCUUCGGGUUGUAAAGCGCUUUCAGCGGGGAGGAAGGCGUUAAGGUUAAUAACCUUGGCGAUUGACGUUACCCGCAGAAGAAGCACCGGCUAACUCCGUGCCAGCAGCCGCGGUAAUACGGAGGGUGCAAGCGUUAAUCGGAAUUACUGGGCGUAAAGCGCACGCAGGCGGUCUGUCAAGUCGGAUGUGAAAUCCCCGAGCUCAACCUGGGAACUGCAUUCGAAACUGGCAGGCUAGAGUCUUGUAGAGGGGGGUAGAAUUCCAGGUGUAGCGGUGAAAUGCGUAGAGAUCUGGAGGAAUACCGGUGGCGAAGGCGGCCCCCUGGACAAAGACUGACGCUCAGGUGCGAAAGCGUGGGGAGCAAACAGGAUUAGAUACCCCUGUAGUC
Molecule: ribosomal RNA, 465 nt
Filed under: uncultured Klebsiella sp.
Lineage: Bacteria; Pseudomonadati; Pseudomonadota; Gammaproteobacteria; Enterobacterales; Enterobacteriaceae
Description: bacterial SSU rRNA
Rfam family: Bacterial small subunit ribosomal RNA
Source: RNAcentral